This 72-nucleotide transfer RNA is filed under the name Chelonia mydas (Green sea turtle). It matches the Rfam family "tRNA". From Rfam's summary of the family: Transfer RNA (tRNA) molecules are approximately 80 nucleotides in length. Their secondary structure includes four short double-helical elements and three loops (D, anti-codon, and T loops). RNAcentral also lists the same sequence under 1 other name. The record is from Rfam by way of RNAcentral. Lineage: Eukaryota; Metazoa; Chordata; Testudines; Cheloniidae.
GGCAGUGUGACCUAAUGGAUAGAGUACUUGACUGGGACUCAGGAGACCUGGGCUCUAUUUCUGACUCUGCCA